UCAAACUUGGUCAUUUAGAGGAAGUACAAGUCGUAACAAGGUUUCCGUAGGUGAACCUGCGGAAGGAUCAUUAACGAAUCGUAUGAUGUUGUGUGGUUGUGAUGUUGUGUGGUUGUGAUUGUGUAUGAUCCUAUAUGAUUGUGUGUGUGUGUGGAUACACAUGCAAUUGUGCAAUCAUGCACAUUACACAUACACCAUACACACCAUACACAUUAGCCCUCCCUGAUAUUGGGAAGUGCAUAUUCAUGCUAUUAUUGUGUUGUUGUGGUGGUAGGUGUAUAUAUGUAUGAUGUAUGUAUAUGCAUGUAUGUAUAACAUAUAGCAUAUACACAUUUAUACACCAAUGUGCAUAAAUAGAUAACUUUUAACAAUGGAUCUCUAGGCUCUUGCAUCGAUGAAGAACGCAGC
This 408-nucleotide unclassified non-coding RNA is filed under the name uncultured fungus. RNAcentral's name for it is "partial contains small subunit ribosomal RNA, internal transcribed spacer 1, and 5.8S ribosomal RNA". The stretch from base 1 to 73 matches the Rfam family "Eukaryotic small subunit ribosomal RNA", at positions 1759 to 1831 of the family's 1831-position model. The record is from RNAcentral. Lineage: Eukaryota; Fungi.